This is a long non-coding RNA of Gallus gallus (chicken), 474 nucleotides long. The record is from Ensembl. NCBI's taxonomy places the organism in Eukaryota, Metazoa, Chordata, Aves, Galliformes, Phasianidae.
GCAGGAUAUGAGCUCCCACCCUCUGUUGGACACAGAAAGAGGAAUGUUAAUGGUUGUGAUUCAAUGCACCUUGUGUAAUACAUGGGUGUGUCUGUUUAGCUGGGGUAAGAUCUAUUUAUCUGCUUAUUUUUCUAUCAGCUGGUCAGGCUACAAUGAUGUGAAGGAGAUGCCAGCUCAGAUGAUCCAGACGCCUUGGCUCCAACAGUAAAGUGUGUUUUGUCAAUACAGUUUGAUUUGGGAAUUUUACCAAUCCAAUUGUACCAAUCCAAGUACAGAAACCUUUCCAGGUAUUCAAGCCUCUUGAUAUGACUGAAAUAAACAAAAUCCUUAUACAAAUAUGGACUAAAAUCUGCUUAACUGGGAUAUUAAACUAUUAUAAUCUGUUAUGAUGCCUGGACUUCAAAACCAACACAGAACGAUUUCCAUUGAAGAAUGCUGUAGGUCUUCUGGACCACACUUGCCAGCCCAUGUGGA